This 2887-nucleotide ribosomal RNA is filed under the name Vibrio cholerae HC-46B1. RNAcentral's name for it is "bacterial LSU rRNA". It matches the Rfam family "Bacterial large subunit ribosomal RNA". Lineage: Bacteria; Pseudomonadati; Pseudomonadota; Gammaproteobacteria; Vibrionales; Vibrionaceae. The record is from RNAcentral.
UUAAGUGACUAAGCGUACAGGGUGGAUGCCUGGGCAGUCAGAGGCGAUGAAGGGCGUACUAACUUGCGAUAAGCGCAGAUGAGGCAGUAAGAGCCGUUUGAGUCUGCGAUUUCCGAAUGGGGAAACCCAACUGCAUAAGCAGUUACUGUUAACUGAAUACAUAGGUUAACAGAGCAAACCGGGGGAACUGAAACAUCUAAGUACCCCGAGGAGAAGAAAUCAACCGAGAUUCCGGUAGUAGCGGCGAGCGAACCUGGAUUAGCCCUUAAGCACUCGGUGAAGUAGGUGAACAAGCUAGGAAAGCUUGGCGAUACGAGGGUGAUACGCCCCGUAACCGACGCUUCAUCGAGCGUGAAAUCGAGUAGGGCGGGACACGUGAUAUCCUGUCUGAAUAUGGGGGGACCAUCCUCCAAGGCUAAAUACUCCUGACUGACCGAUAGUGAACCAGUACCGUGAGGGAAGGCGAAAAGAACCCCUGUGAGGGGAGUGAAAUAGAACCUGAAACCGUGUACGUACAAGCAGUAGGAGCACCUUCGUGGUGUGACUGCGUACCUUUUGUAUAAUGGGUCAGCGACUUAUAUUCAGUGGCAAGGUUAACCGUAUAGGGGAGCCGUAGCGAAAGCGAGUCUUAACUGGGCGCUCAGUCUCUGGAUAUAGACCCGAAACCGGGUGAUCUAGCCAUGGGCAGGUUGAAGGUUGAGUAACAUCAACUGGAGGACCGAACCGACUAAUGUUGAAAAAUUAGCGGAUGACUUGUGGCUAGGGGUGAAAGGCCAAUCAAACUCGGAGAUAGCUGGUUCUCCCCGAAAGCUAUUUAGGUAGCGCCUCGGACGAAUACUACUGGGGGUAGAGCACUGUUAAGGCUAGGGGGUCAUCCCGACUUACCAACCCUUUGCAAACUCCGAAUACCAGUAAGUACUAUCCGGGAGACACACGGCGGGUGCUAACGUCCGUCGUGGAGAGGGAAACAACCCAGACCGCCAGCUAAGGUCCCAAAGUAUUGCUAAGUGGGAAACGAUGUGGGAAGGCUCAGACAGCUAGGAUGUUGGCUUAGAAGCAGCCAUCAUUUAAAGAAAGCGUAAUAGCUCACUAGUCGAGUCGGCCUGCGCGGAAGAUGUAACGGGGCUAAGCAAUACACCGAAGCUGCGGCAAUAUCUUUUAGAUAUUGGGUAGGGGAGCGUUCUGUAAGCCGUUGAAGGUGAAUCGUAAGGUUUGCUGGAGGUAUCAGAAGUGCGAAUGCUGACAUGAGUAACGACAAAGGGGGUGAAAAACCUCCUCGCCGGAAGACCAAGGGUUCCUGUCCAACGUUAAUCGGGGCAGGGUGAGUCGACCCCUAAGGUGAGGCCGAAAGGCGUAAUCGAUGGGAAACGGGUUAAUAUUCCCGUACUUCUGACUAUUGCGAUGGGGGGACGGAGAAGGCUAGGUGGGCCAGGCGACGGUUGUCCUGGUUCAAGUGCGUAGGCUUGAGAGUUAGGUAAAUCCGGCUCUCUCUAAGGCUGAGACACGACGUCGAGCUGCUACGGCAGUGAAGUCAUUGAUGCCAUGCUUCCAGGAAAAGCCUCUAAGCUUCAGAUAGUCAGGAAUCGUACCCCAAACCGACACAGGUGGUCGGGUAGAGAAUACCAAGGCGCUUGAGAGAACUCGGGUGAAGGAACUAGGCAAAAUGGUACCGUAACUUCGGGAGAAGGUACGCUCUUGAUGGUGAAGUCCCUCGCGGAUGGAGCUGACGAGAGUCGCAGAUACCAGGUGGCUGCAACUGUUUAUUAAAAACACAGCACUGUGCAAAAUCGCAAGAUGACGUAUACGGUGUGACGCCUGCCCGGUGCCGGAAGGUUAAUUGAUGGGGUUAGCGCAAGCGAAGCUCUUGAUCGAAGCCCCGGUAAACGGCGGCCGUAACUAUAACGGUCCUAAGGUAGCGAAAUUCCUUGUCGGGUAAGUUCCGACCUGCACGAAUGGCGUAAUGAUGGCCACGCUGUCUCCACCCGAGACUCAGUGAAAUUGAAAUCGCUGUGAAGAUGCAGUGUACCCGCGGCUAGACGGAAAGACCCCGUGAACCUUUACUACAGCUUGGCACUGAACAUUGAACCUACAUGUGUAGGAUAGGUGGGAGGCUAUGAAGACGUGACGCCAGUUGCGUUGGAGCCGUCCUUGAAAUACCACCCUUGUAUGUUUGAUGUUCUAACUUAGACCCAUUAUCUGGGUUGAGGACAGUGCCUGGUGGGUAGUUUGACUGGGGCGGUCUCCUCCCAAAGAGUAACGGAGGAGCACGAAGGUGGGCUAAUCACGGUUGGACAUCGUGAGGUUAGUGCAAUGGCAUAAGCCCGCUUAACUGCGAGAAUGACGGUUCGAGCAGGUGCGAAAGCAGGUCAUAGUGAUCCGGUGGUUCUGUAUGGAAGGGCCAUCGCUCAACGGAUAAAAGGUACUCCGGGGAUAACAGGCUGAUACCGCCCAAGAGUUCAUAUCGACGGCGGUGUUUGGCACCUCGAUGUCGGCUCAUCACAUCCUGGGGCUGAAGUCGGUCCCAAGGGUAUGGCUGUUCGCCAUUUAAAGUGGUACGCGAGCUGGGUUUAGAACGUCGUGAGACAGUUCGGUCCCUAUCUGCCGUGGGCGUUGGAAGAUUGAAGGGGGCUGCUCCUAGUACGAGAGGACCGGAGUGGACGAACCUCUGGUGUUCGGGUUGUGUCGCCAGACGCAUUGCCCGGUAGCUAAGUUCGGAAUUGAUAAGCGCUGAAAGCAUCUAAGCGCGAAGCGAGCCCUGAGAUGAGUCUUCCCUGACAGUUUAACUGUUCUAAAGGGUUGUUCGAGACUAGAACGUUGAUAGGCAGGGUGUGUAAGCGUUGUGAGGCGUUGAGCUAACCUGUACUAAUUGCCCGUGAGGCUUAACCAU